Molecule: ribosomal RNA, 251 nt
Filed under: uncultured prokaryote
Description: partial 16S rRNA
Rfam family: Bacterial small subunit ribosomal RNA
Source: RNAcentral
ACGUAGGGUGCGAGCGUUAAUCGGAAUUAUUGGGCGUAAAGCGUGCGCAGGCGGUUAUAUAAGUCAGAUGUGAAAUCCCCGGGCUUAACCUGGGAAAUGCAUUUGAGACUGUAUGACUAGAGUGUGGGAGAGGAGGGUGGAAUUCCACGUGUAGCGGUGAAAUGCGUAGAGAUGAGGAGGAACACCGAUGGCGAAGGCGGCCUCCUGGGCCGAUACUGACGCUGAUGCACGAAAGCGUGGGGAGCAAACAG